AAUCAGUGCUGAAAAUCGUCUCUCAUCCGCCAAAACAUCUUCGGCGUUGUAAGGUUAAGCCUCACGGUUCAUUAGUACCGGUUAGCUCAACGCAUCGCUGCGCUUACACACCCGGCCUAUCAACGUCGUCGUCUUCAACGUUCCUUCAGGAGACCUAAAGUCUCAGGGAGAACUCAUCUCGGGGCAAGUUUCGUGCUUAGAUGCUUUCAGCACUUAUCUCUUCCGCAUUUAGCUACCGGGCAGUGCCAUUGGCAUGACAACCCGAACACCAGUGAUGCGUCCACUCCGGUCCUCUCGUACUAGGAGCAGCCCCCCUCAGUUCUCCAGCGCCCACGGCAGAUAGGGACCGAACUGUCUCACGACGUUCUAAACCCAGCUCGCGUACCACUUUAAAUGGCGAACAGCCAUACCCUUGGGACCUACUUCAGCCCCAGGAUGUGAUGAGCCGACAUCGAGGUGCCAAACACCGCCGUCGAUAUGAACUCUUGGGCGGUAUCAGCCUGUUAUCCCCGGAGUACCUUUUAUCCGUUGAGCGAUGGCCCUUCCAUUCAGAACCACCGGAUCACUAUGACCUGCUUUCGCACCUGCUCGCGCCGUCACGCUCGCAGUCAAGCUGGCUUAUGCCAUUGCACUAACCUCCUGAUGUCCGACCAGGAUUAGCCAACCUUCGUGCUCCUCCGUUACUCUUUAGGAGGAGACCGCCCCAGUCAAACUACCCACCAGACACUGUCCGCAACCCGGGUAACGGGUCCACGUUAGAACAUCAAACAUUAAAGGGUGGUAUUUCAAGGUCGGCUCCAUGCAGACUGGCGUCCACACUUCAAAGCCUCCCACCUAUCCUACACAUCAAGGCUCAAUGUUCAGUGUCAAGCUAUAGUAAAGGUUCACGGGGUCUUUCCGUCUUGCCGCGGGUACACUGCAUCUUCACAGCGAGUUCAAUUUCACUGAGUCUCGGGUGGAGACAGCCUGGCCAUCAUUACGCCAUUCGUGCAGGUCGGAACUUACCCGACAAGGAAUUUCGCUACCUUAGGACCGUUAUAGUUACGGCCGCCGUUUACCGGGGCUUCGAUCAGGAGCUUCGCUUGCGCUGACCCCAUCAAUUAACCUUCCGGCACCGGGCAGGCGUCACACCGUAUACGUCCACUUUCGUGUUUGCACAGUGCUGUGUUUUUAAUAAACAGUUGCAGCCAGCUGGUAUCUUCGACUGACUUCAGCUCCAUGAGUAAAUCACUUCACCUACGUGUCAGCGUGCCUUCUCCCGAAGUUACGGCACCAUUUUGCCUAGUUCCUUCACCCGAGUUCUCUCAAGCGCCUUGGUAUUCUCUACCUGACCACCUGUGUCGGUUUGGGGUACGAUUUGAUGUUACCUGAUGCUUAGAGGCUUUUCCUGGAAGCAGGGCAUUUGUUGCUUCAGCACCGUAGUGCCUCGUCGUCACGCCUCAGUGUUAAAGUGAACCGGAUUUACCUGGAACACACACCUACACGCUUAAACCGGGACAACCGUCGCCCGGCCAACAUA
This 1519-nucleotide ribosomal RNA is filed under the name Salmonella enterica subsp. enterica serovar Paratyphi A. RNAcentral's name for it is "23S ribosomal RNA". The record is from RNAcentral. Lineage: Bacteria; Pseudomonadati; Pseudomonadota; Gammaproteobacteria; Enterobacterales; Enterobacteriaceae.